This 540-nucleotide ribosomal RNA is filed under the name Triticum aestivum (bread wheat). RNAcentral's name for it is "partial small subunit ribosomal RNA". The record is from RNAcentral. Lineage: Eukaryota; Viridiplantae; Streptophyta; Magnoliopsida; Poales; Poaceae.
GGUGUGAAGGAUGCCACCUUUGAGGUGGGCAGCAUGGAUAGGGGCGAAUUCUUCGUCAGCAUGGAGCUUUUCGAGAGGUCGCUCAACUUCAAGUGGGAGAUCAUCAUUGUCUAUGGACCGGCCGAUCAUAGUAGGUCGGCCUCCUUCUUGGAGGAGCUCCACCGGAAAAUCUCGGCCGCCUCCCUCCCCGUGGUUGUCGGGGGCGACUUCAACCUGCUGCGCGUUGCGGAGGACAAGAACAAUGGCAAUGUUUGCUUUGCCCGGAUGGACAUGUUUAACGACUUCAUUGCCGACCUCGCCCUCCGGGAGAUUGAUCGGGUUGGGGCCCGUUUUACUUGGACCAACCGACAAGCUUCCCCGACCCUAUCCGUCUUGGACAGGGUCCUAGUUUCCCCGGAAUGGGACCUCCGAUGCCCCCUAGCCUCUCUUCGCGCCAUCACCCGGAUUGGUUCCGACCACGUCCCCUUGCUCCUCUCCUCCGCGGACGAGCGUCCGCCGAUCCCCCCUCGGUUCCGGUUUGAGACCUUCUGGCUUUCCCAG